UGGUUGCCCUUCCUGUGAUGAAGGCAAGUGUGUCCCUGGAGAGGCCCCUGAGUCUAGAGCUGCUUUUAGGGAGCUGCCAAUGGCACAGCCCUCCCUCCUCCAGGAAGCUGAGGGCUCCGUCACAGUGAGGCAGCCAGGAGCCAGGGCUUCCAUGACACAGACGUAGCUCUGGACCUGUAGGGGAGCAGGAUCUGGUAAAAGUGUUCCAGAGUUGUUCUUGGGUAUUUGCUUGGCCAAUAUCUUGAUUAUUUGUGGCAAUUUUAAUAUUUUUAACCUCAUUUGAUCAUAUUUUGUG
Molecule: long non-coding RNA, 295 nt
Filed under: Propithecus coquereli (Coquerel's sifaka)
Lineage: Eukaryota; Metazoa; Chordata; Mammalia; Primates; Indriidae
Description: ST7 overlapping transcript 4 conserved region 3 (ENSPCOG00000003075.1)
Rfam family: ST7 overlapping transcript 4 conserved region 3
Source: RNAcentral